UAGGGAAUCUUCGGCAAUGGGGGGAACCCUGACCGAGCAACGCCGCGUGAGUGAAGAAGGCUUUCGGAUCGUAAAGCUCUGUUGUUAAGGAAGAACGAGCGUGAGAAUGGAAAGUUCAUGCUGUGACGGUACUUAACCAGAAAGGGACGGCUAACUACGUGCCAGCAGCCGCGGUAAUACGUAGGUCCCGAGCGUUGUCCGGAUUUAUUGGGCGUAAAGCGAGCGCAGGCGGUUAGAAAAGUCUGAAGUGAAAGGCAGUGGCUCAACCAUUGUAGUCUUUGGAAACUGUUUAACUGGAGUGCAGAAGGGGGGAGUGGAACUCCAUGUGUGACGGUGAAAUGCGUAGAUAUAUGGAGGAACACCGGUGGCGAAAGCGGCUCUCUGGUCUGUAACUGACGCUGAGGCUCGAAAGCGUGGGGAGCGAACAGG
Molecule: ribosomal RNA, 429 nt
Filed under: Bacteroidota bacterium
Lineage: Bacteria; Pseudomonadati; Bacteroidota
Description: Bacteroidetes bacterium partial 16S ribosomal RNA
Rfam family: Bacterial small subunit ribosomal RNA
Source: RNAcentral